AAACUAACAAGGAUUCCCCUAGUAGCGGCGAGCGAAGCGGGAAGAGCUCAAAUUUAUAAUCUGGCACCUUCGGUGUCCGAGUUGUAAUCUCUAGAAAUGUUUUCCGCGUUGGACCGCACACAAGUCUGUUGGAAUACAGCGGCAUAGUGGUGAGACCCCCGUAUAUGGUGCGGACGCCCAGCGCUUUGUGAUACAUUUUCGAAGAGUCGAGUUGUUUGGGAAUGCAGCUCAAAUUGGGUGGUAAAUUCCAUCUAAAGCUAAAUAUUGGCGAGAGACCGAUAGCGAACAAGUACCGUGAGGGAAAGAUGAAAAGCACUUUGGAAAGAGAGUUAACAGUACGUGAAAUUGUUGGAAGGGAAACGCUUGAAGUCAGACUUGCUUGCCGAGCAAUCGGUUUGCAGGCCAGCAUCAGUUUUCCGGGAUGGAUAAUGGUAGAGAGAAGGUAGCAGUUUCGGCUGUGUUAUAGCUCUCUACUGGAUACAUCUUGGGGGACUGAGGAACGCAGUGUGCCUUUUGGCGGGGGUUUCGACCUCUUCACACUUAGGAUGCUGGUGGAAUGGCUUUAAACGAC
This 571-nucleotide ribosomal RNA is filed under the name Rhodotorula mucilaginosa. RNAcentral describes it as "eukaryotic LSU rRNA". It matches the Rfam family "Eukaryotic large subunit ribosomal RNA", at positions 62 to 648 of the family's 3401-position model. Lineage: Eukaryota; Fungi; Basidiomycota; Microbotryomycetes; Sporidiobolales; Sporidiobolaceae. The record is from RNAcentral.